GCCUGAAAUAUUGACUUCCCUGCUCCUCGGAUGCUGUCUGACCUGCUGUGCUUUUCCAGCCUCACCUUUUGACUCUGGCUCCUAGCAUCUGUGGUCCUUUCUGUCUCCAAUGUGGUAAAAACUGCCUGGGAAAGGAGAGAAGCUGGGGAGAAAGUAAACCCAUCCACUCGGGAGAAAGUAUGCAAACUACCAUGGACUCAAGCUGGGAUUGUGGAGCUAGAUGUCUGGCAUGUUGAGAGUGUCUGAGGUGCAGGUCCCAAAAGACUCGGAGGGCCAUGUAAUGCAGAGUGCAGCAAACCAUCACAAGGACUGAGAUUUUCGGCUUCUUUGCUGUCCAACGUCUCCCCAGGUGGUGGCACAACAGUAUAGUCCAGUUAUGAGGCAGCCCAGGACCAGCAAACAAGUGAAGCGACUCUCGUUAUUGGGGGAACAGAAGUUAAUGGAAUUUAAACUCUGGCAAACUUCUUUCUUGAAAGACUGCAAGCAAACAUCAGAGCUCCUGGUUACAUCAGCAUGUGGGAAAACGUUCCUCCAGCAGUAAUUGAG
This is a long non-coding RNA of Rhincodon typus (whale shark), 546 nucleotides long. RefSeq lists it as uncharacterized. The transcript is spliced from 3 exons. The record is from RefSeq and is a predicted model, not a curated record. Lineage: Eukaryota; Metazoa; Chordata; Chondrichthyes; Orectolobiformes; Rhincodontidae.